Molecule: long non-coding RNA, 2117 nt
Organism: Pecten maximus
Lineage: Eukaryota; Metazoa; Mollusca; Bivalvia; Pectinida; Pectinidae
Exons: 3
Source: RefSeq, a predicted model, not a curated record
UUUGAUGUUCAUAGGUUUUAUUAAACACAUAUUUUAUCAUGAAUUAUUUAAGGAAUUUAACCUGUUAUCACUCUUGACUUUGUUACUAUCCUUGUUUUCUUUUUUUUGGCAGGUUCAGCAAUUGGAACCAAGAUGCUGGCGAGGUCAGAGGGAAUUAGUCCUCCAGUGACGAGGGGAUGACCAUGGACAAAUUGACCACAGGCCUCACAUAAUGGGUCAACCGGAUCUGUAUUUCCACAGUUGUCUCCUCCUGGACCGGGUACCUAUUUAUAGGGAUGAGUUUGCAUAUCCUAGACUGACAGAAAAUUCACAGACAGCCUUCUUGAUGGGACGAAAGAGGCCAACAUCAAGAGGUUGCAAAAUAUGCGUGGUGUGAGGGGGCAAACACAAUAGCUCUAUGUGGUUUUCCCUUGCCAGUUUUAUUGUCUCAACUGACAGAUGGGACUCAUGGUUGUCCAUGGUGAGAAUUAGAGGACGAGCUUUAGGGGCAUACACAAUGAAGACAUUCUCAAACCAUCUUUGAAAUAGAUCUGCAUCGAUGUAUCCAUUUGGAGAAGUGGCAAAGAGCCAGUUUCCAGUACAUACCAUCCCUAUAUGCGCCACUCGGAAAACUCUUUUCAUAUAUCAAGAAAGUGGGCAACACCUGUCCACUGGCGGAUACACACACUGCAGCAGUUGAAUGUGUUGUCAAUGAUGUUUGUCUUGUAAAUGUGUUACCAUUUCCAGUACAAACUUUGUCGUGGGCAAUUAUCCCUUUACCAAAGCCAGUUUCGUCAAAGUUGAAAAUCUGCUCUGGUUUAUUCAGGAGUCCUGAAUGGAAAGAUUACACACCGUAUUUGAAAUAGAAAUGGUGACUGAUGGACUGAUUGACUAUCACCUAUGCAGAAAUUUUAAGGUUUUUAACUUCAUGACUUAGUUCCUUUUACAAAGACCUGUAUUAAUUUACUUUAAAAACAUUUGACUCACAACAUAAGAUAUAUACCUACAGCAUGUGAAAAUUGCCUUACAAUUUAUUAUUUACUGAACUUAGAAUGAGACCAUUAAAAUGUACAAACAUAACUAACCAUGUUUUUUCAUAGUGUUAUGGAGGAGAUCAAAAUAUUGCUUCAUGACAGUUUUAUUUGCCAUCCGAACCCUCCCACCAUCAAUUGUUUGGGGUUUCUUCAUUUUUAAGUCAGGGUGACGUUUCAGAAAGCUUCUGAACCAUUUAUUGCUUGGUCCAUUUUCCCCAAUGGUUGAUGCCCUUCCACUUUUUUUUUUACAAUGCCCCGUACAAAUGUCUUUAUCAUUUUGGUAGUCAACGGCAUGGAGUGUUCCUGUGAUGAUCAGUUUAUAAAUUGAUAUAAUCCUCAAACAAAAUAAAAUGUGUUCAUUAAUUAGGUAAUGUUUGAUAUUUCCCCGCAAUAUUUGUAGCUCUCCAGACUAGCAGGAACGUUAUAUGUUGUCAUAAGGGCUUUAAGAGUUAAUGAUUUCAUGGUAUAUUUAUGUAACCGGGUAAAUACUAGCCGCAAUAUACCACUGGUCUAGAAAGAUCUUCUCUUCAGCUUGAUCGGUUGAGUGUAAUACUAGUAAGCCGGAGGUCCCGGGUUCAAUAACUAGCAGAGGCAGUGAUUUGAAUUUAAUUAUAAUCAUGCUCUCUGUUCUAUUUACUUAAAUUAAUAUUCUGUAUGGAUGUUGCAGCAAAAAUACAUUCUGAAUGGAACAAAUUUGAUUUGUGAAUGUUUUCAUAAGACAGCCAUACCUGGGAGUAUUUAAUGUAUGUCACAAGUGCCAUUUCCUCGUUGUUCGUCAACAUGCGAAUGGGAUGUCUUGUUAACAGUUCUCUUGCAUGCCGUCAUAAUGUUGUAUGUGCAACUCCAUGUAAACCAGCCGCCUUUCGGAAACCUGAUCCUUUUUUAUUUUCUUUUAGGGCAUUUUCCAAGGCUUCAGUAUUGUAAUUUUUGUAUUUCACUGCAAUCCAUGAUAAUCAUAAUUUAACUGAUAUUAUAAUAUGAAUAAAUUGGCUUGCUUAAUGAGGCAUUGUGAGGUUGAUAUUUGUGCUUUUAAUCUGGAAUUUAAGUUGUUGUAUAAUACAUUUAGUCAUUUGCUUGAAAGAAGACUUCUAUAGGCUAAGUUUG